RNAcentral lists this long non-coding RNA (4235 nucleotides) under Panax ginseng (ginseng). RNAcentral describes it as "long non-coding RNA (PGIN_LNC007581)". The record is from RNAcentral. Lineage: Eukaryota; Viridiplantae; Streptophyta; Magnoliopsida; Apiales; Araliaceae.
ACAACAAUUAAUACAUACUUAAUCAUCAAUACAUAUCCAACCACCAAAACAUCGAACUAGUCUAUACUAUUUUCAAGAAAUUUCGAUAAAAUUUCCUUUAAAAAUAAAUAUCCAGAAAAUUCUAAACCUGUCUACAAAACUUACAAUCAUCAAUAUAUAUCCAACCACCAAAAAAACCAUCAUUCCAUACCAAAAAAUCAUCAUAACCAUGUAUAAUUAGUUAACCUUACAUAAGACGGAACACAAAAAAUACAAACGUACAGAAAAUAGAGAAACAACAUGUUGCAUAAGACCCAUUAUUUUACAGCUUACACCAAGUAUCCUUCAAUGUAUACCUGAAAAUAUUUGAAAUAUAAAAUUUAUCAAAAUAUGUGAGUCAAAAUAAAACAAUUGUAAAUUUGAAACAUAAGAACCCUUACUUUACCCUGAAUUAUCUAAAAAAUAAAUGACAAGGCAACAAAUAACAUUCAUCCAAGUGAUACCAAAAAUUUGAGUAAAUAGCAAAACACUGAUGAGUGAUGACGUAUAAAUGAAUUAUUGCUAUGAUACAUUUAGGACCAAGUACUCAAGUAGAAGCUAUAGAAAUAAUAGAACAAACCCUUUCUAUCCUCCUUAGAUUUGCGUCCCAAGCUGCGAGUUCUUUCUAUUUUUUCUUCGGAUCCUGCAAAAUUAGAAAUAGCAAUGUCAUUACAUUCAUGGCAUCCAAUGGUAUAUCCACAAUUGCAUCUUGUUUUUGGCCAAAACCCAGGGUAUUAACAACCAUUUGAGGAAUGCGUGACUUUGAUUCAGGAGCAACAUUCCCAUUAUACAACAAAUACCAAUAUAUAUAGAAAACAUUUAAAAAACAUAUACAAAGAAAAGUAAAUAACAUCCAAACUGCAUCCCAAAACUAUCUCAAGUCAUAAAUGAUUAUAUAAAGUCAUCUAGAAAAUCGAUCGAGGCAUUUAUAGGACUGUUGUGCAGUAAUAACGCAUUUAGUUAUAGUAAUAAAUUUUAAUUAGGAUAUUGGAUUUAAUUAGAUCUUAGUUAGAAGAUUAUUUAUUUUUUAUAGUAGGAGUGUUCUGAUACAAAGAGUGUAAUGUUUAUUAUUUCUCAAAUUAUUGAAUAUAUUAAUUUGAGAUUAAAACUUCAUGCUUUUGUGUGUUUCUCUAGAAAUUCUCAGUGGGGAUAGAUACACUUGUUCAUUCUUUUCACCUUGCCCUACAUUAGAAUCUCUUCCACAUCUCAUACUCCAUGAUUGAAGAUAGACCCCGACAUUGUAGAUACUCAACACAUAUGUCGUUGAACCAGUUGGAAAACCAUACUCGUCGACACUAUCUGCAAUCCCCACCUAUCAUCUGCAUGCAAAGAUCUCACCAUCGAUGGCACCAUCUUCUCCAAAUUUGGUGCCACCGGCGUUCCAAAACAUCAUCAUCUUCCAACACCACUAUUGAUUCUACCACUACUGUGAAAAGCCAAAACCUACUAAUUAGUGUUCUUUGAUGAUUUGUGUGAAAAACUCCACAAUAGUACACAUUGUUAUCGUUAUGGGUGUUAAUUUUAUUUUUGAAACUAUAGAUGGAUCAAGAUCCUUGAAAAAUUAGAAAAGAGGAAAAAAAUAACAUUGAGGAAAUAAACCCUCUCUCUAUGUGUGUUAAGAAAUUGAACAAACAUGGAGGAGGAUGGUGGUGUGGAGAAGCAAUGCUAGGUAGUGGCGGCAUCGCAAACAUGAAAGAGGAUGGCUCGAAUCUAUUGAGGAAGAUAACUGAUAGGAAAGUUUCAUGAAUUUAAUUAUUUUCAAUUUUUACUUGCAAAUUCAAAGUUGAAUCUGCUUCAGGCGUCUUAAAGACAACAUCUGCUUUCCCCUACACCACAUGCACAACUCAAGUCAAUAAAUAAUAUUGUAUAGCCAUAAUACAUAUAUAUAGAUAUAUAUAUAAUAAAUAAAUAAAAACAAUGCGAUUAGCCGAUUACAAUAUGCAUUUGUUUAAGAUGUAUAUGUAAAGUUUGUAGGUUAAUGUAAGCAAUUUGAAAGUACUACCAGGUUUCACGACAAACUUCGUUUAGUUAUUCAAAUAAAAAAAAUCAUAGUUUAUUCCAUUCACUUGGAGGCAAUAGAAGUACUCAAACGAAAUGCUAACGAAUUGACAUAAAUUAAAUUAAAUUUUAGCCAGUAAACCCCACAUCUUCUAUGAAUUAGCUGCUAAGAACAUAAUACAAAAGUUCCACUUACAAUUACAUAAUCCCAAGUAGUGACUGUAAUAUAUAAGAUAGUAAUUCUCUUAGAAAGUCCCCCAAAAUUCUGUAUUGAAGAAAAUACAAUGGUGUAGUAAUCCAAUUUAAAAUAAGAUUAAUGAUAACCUUUUUGCUGGUAGAGGACACACACAAACAAAAAAAACACAUUUUACCAAAAGAUUGCAAUCAAUCUACCUUAAUUGAUUUCAAGUUAAUCUUCUAGUGGGUUUUGCAUUUGCAACAACCUAUCUUUUUUUACAUACCAAAAGAGGUACUUACUUCUUCCCCUCAUAAGUUCAUAAGUGAACCCACUGAAUAUUAACUUCUAAUUCAACAAAUAUAUGUGGGUACAUAGCCACAUAAAUCAUUAAAAAUCAGCCUGACAAAUUAAAAAAUUAAAAUAAAAUUCAGCCAAACAAAUUAAAAUAAAUCAGUUCAACACCAAACAGAAUAAAACUAAAAGGGGUAUCAUAUCAUAGUCAAAACAUGAGAGAGAGAGGAACCUCUAGUCCGUAGAUUUUGACAAAUGGGUCGCUGCUGCUGUCUUUGUUUAUUUUAUUUUCUUGGGAAUUUUCGCAUUUAUUGUUCACAAAACUCAUAUUUUCUCUCUCUGGGAACAAUAAAUGGGUAUUUUUGGAGAGAGAAAACGUAGGAAAAGGGAUCGGCGCUCUGUAGUUGCUACCUUCCGGCUUCUUUAUACAGGGAUUUAGAAGGGGCAAUGUAUUGAACAUAUUUAUUCACCAAAAAAUUGCUUUUUAUUAAUUGUUAAUAAUAUAAAUCUAGUAUUUUUUUUAUAUUGAAAUUUAUAACAAAUUAUUAUGAAUGAGGUUGUGACAAUUUAUUUUUAUUUUUUUGCUAAAUGUUAUGACAAUUUUUAAGUUCAACUUGAACAUAAAAGACAGUUAUUCCCAUAAUUAAAAUAAGAUGCCCUCAAUAUCAUACCCUAAAACAAAGGAGGAGUAACUAUAUUUAUGAAAGUUUUUGAAAACUAAAAAUUUUAAAGUGUUUGGUUUCGGUGUUUUGGUUUUUGGUAUUUGGUAUUCCUGGGUUAUAUUGUGCAACAUUUAGCUGAUAAUACUGAAAAUAAGAAAAUAUGAAAUUGCAAAUUAUAAUACCUAGAAGAAGAAGAAUUUGAAACCAUCAUAACUAAAUCUCCUUCAGAUAAAUCAAGAGCACUCAGUCUCUCAGUAUUCCUUAUCUACUUCCCGUUGUACAGCAGUUGUUGUCACUGCAGUGGCACUUGCGUCUGCGUAUUACAUAAAACAAACACUGUAAAUCUGUAUACUUACAUAAAAAAUACAGUCAUAACUCAUAAAAAAUAUAGAGAACUUUCCUCUUCCCAUAUUUCCCUUCUAUACGCUCUUAUUGUAACCGUGAGAAUUCGAUUUAUGGUUUGCCUGAAAAAAUUAUUAGAAGAAUGAUUUCAAUUGCCGAUUUCAAUUGCUUCCUCCUCCUAUUUAAAAAUGAAGCCCUAAUCCCCUAACAGAGCAUUGAAUCCCCUAAAAGAGCAACAUAAGAAAAGGAAAAUUUUUGUCUUACUUCUCCCGUCUCCAUACUUGUUUUCCUGCUGUAUGUAGUGGGUGUUUUAAUGUCACUUUGAGAUUUCUUGCAAUGAAUAAUUAGCAAUAAUAAAGUAAGCCACAAGUGAUGGACCAAUCAUCCCAUGGUCUAAAGAAAUAGUCUUGUCCAGUUGUCCUGCAAACAAAAAUAAAUAAAUGUCACUGUCAAACUGCACAUUCUAGGAAGAAACAUGCAAAUACAAUCUAGAAGAUAAGGUAUAGGAAGCACCGCUUAAAUUGAUAAAUUCUGCAAAACUAUCAGUCUGUUGUCCUGUGCCUGGUAUCAGGACUCUACUCUGGAGCCUGGACUAUAAUGCAGAAUUGAAUAUUCCGCGAAGCUUAUGGCAAGUAGCAUAUAUUCCACGUAUAGAUAAAUAUUAUAUAUGGCCAGUAUACAUUACUUCAUUUCUAGUGGGUUACCAAUUUUCACUACAAAUUAUCUUUCACCUAACCUUUUCAAAC